UACGUAGGGGGCAAGCGUUGUCCGGAAUCAUUGGGCGUAAAGCGCGUGUAGGCGGCUCGAUAAGUCCGCUGUGAAAGUCCAGGGCUCAACCCUGGAAUGCCGGUGGAAACUGUCGAGCUAGAGUCCGGAAGAGGCGAGUGGAAUUCCUGGUGUAGCGGUGAAAUGCGCAGAUAUCAGGAGGAACACCAAUUGCGAAGGCAGCUCGCUGGGACGUUACUGACGCUGAGACGCGAAAGCGUGGGGAGCGAACAGG
This 253-nucleotide ribosomal RNA is filed under the name uncultured bacterium. RNAcentral describes it as "partial 16S ribosomal RNA". It matches the Rfam family "Bacterial small subunit ribosomal RNA", at positions 524 to 776 of the family's 1533-position model. The record is from RNAcentral.